UUCCUUUUUUUUUUUUUUUUUACUGCGCACGCUUCUUUUUUUUAAUGCACGCUUCUUCUUUUUAUUUUUAUGCAUUCCACUCAUGCUCCUCUACCCUACCUCUCUUUCUCUUUUUCCUUUUCAUCAUGACCACCACUACCGUUUGCCUCCCCAACGUCUCUCUUUCUGCUCCUCACCCGCUCCUCUCUCUCCUCAAAUUUCCCCAUAAAAAGAGGACGUUUCUACCUUCUUUGGGGGAGGGAUUGGGAUGAGCAAAAAAAAACCUAACAAAACAAGAUCGGGCAGUGGCGAAAGAAAAGAGAAAAAACAGACCGAAAAAUCCCCCCUCAAAACAGAUUGAACACGAUCUGAAAUUCCCAAAAAUCCCCCUACAAACACAGGUUUUAAUCGCCUUCAAUUUCCCCAGAAAAAGAACAGCCUUCAUUAUUUUUUUUUUUUUUUGGGAAACAUUUCUUGAAAUUCAACCGAAAGGAGGGAUUGAACACUGAUUGGGGAGAUUAUUGUAUACGGAGUAUUUUGUCACCGAGCCUCAAGUUUCUUUUAUCCUGGUCCUGAUUUUGUUUAAAAUCAGAAAAAAAAAAACACCUUUUGUUGAAAACAUAAGAUUUGUGACAAAAAAUUAAGUUUUCACAAUUCAAUUAACUUUCGUCGCUGCUCGACAAAAGAACUUUAAUUACAACAAAGACAUUUUAACUUUCGAUUCGAGCUUUGAAUCUGUCCAUACGAGAGGGUAGAUUCGAGGCUUCGACGCUCAGUUCACUGCACACACAAAAGGUAAACCUCGAUACAUUUAUCGCUUCUAGCCUUUGGUUCCUGCUUGAGUUAAAUUUUAGUUGAUUCUGCUAUUUUGCUAGUUAUGUAGUUUCUUUGUCGUCACAUUGUUUGUUUGACGUUUGGGAGCUGUUAGGAUAGAAUAACAAUUGCUAAUAGACAAAUUUGAAAGACAUAUACUGUAGCUUGGAUGUUUAGACUGAGUUUCAGGAUUUAAAACCUAUUUAGAGUCGAAUAUACAUAGGAUAUACCGUGGGUAUACAUGCGAUAUACCUCUUAUAUACACACCUUGGUGUGUAUAUCUUAGGUAUACCGUGUAUAAGGUUAAGACAGAUCGGUAUUGUCUCUCUUUUACUCUGUUUGUUCAAAUAAUAUGCCCCGGGUAUAAAUAUAAUCCGCUCGGUUUAGAUACGAUGAAACGGUUGUAUGAUAUGUCGGUAUUGUUUACUGAUUUGAUUUAGUCUAUGGUUUCUGUUCUACGAACAAUCCUAUUAGCAACCAUGUAUCAGGCCUAGUUCCAUUUUUAGUCUGAUUAACAUGUUUAUGUGAAAAUAAACAUGUCUUGAACAUAAUCCCUGCUAUACCUAUGUUUAAAAUAGCCAUCCUGUUUGGUAUAUGUUGCUGCCCCCAUAUAAUUUGAACGCAUAUUAACGUCUUCUCUUUCUGUACACAAUGCGAUUCUCAUUGACAUUCUGGGAUCAUGAAUUUUCACCAAACUGGAACAAAAUUGUUUUUCUCAUUAUCGGCACCAUCUGUUUUCACAUUCUACACUCUCAUGCAACUCAUAUUGUGCUUUGUUGAGCAUAUUAUAUAUCUGCAUCUACUCAUCUUUAUAUGCUAAGUAUACUUGUAUCGAUUAUAUAUGUGUGUACAUGACAGGUAUACUUUAGCCUAUACAUCUUCAUAGAUAUGUAUACAUGAGAUACACUUUGAAUAUACAUAUUAUAUACAUAAUCUACUGAUUUGUUUUUUUUUUUUUUUUUUUUAUAUUUUUCAUGUUUAAUCUUAUCCGUUGAGUAGAUACUAAUCCUUUUCCUUUAAUUUUUUUUUUGCAUGAUAUCUCGCAUACGAGUCCAAACGACUCGUCAUCUCCCGCAUUCGGCUUCGGGCUAAAAGCCCAACAUGAAAUUCUCUCCCUAUCAUCCCAAUCCGCAGCCAAACAAGAAAACAAAAUCUGGGCCAAAACCCAAUAGACAAGACAGCCCACAACAGCAAUAUAGAGAAAAUUUAUUGGGCCUAAGCCCAAUAAACGUGAACAGUUCAGCUGGGCCUUAAUAAAUGGGCCAAACCCAUUUACCCUUUUUACCCUCUUCCUUAUUUUAUUUUGUGUAUUUUUAUUUGUUUUGUAUGACUAACAUCUUACCUUAUUUUAUUUUUCUAACUUACAUGAAUUUAGCAAAUUAGUGGGGCUUAGUUUAAUAAUGGGUAAUUAAUUUAAGGACGAUCAAUCAAUCCCAUAAGAUUCGCUUGUUUUCUUGCUAUCGAUUUUCAAAAUUACGUCUUUAUAAUAUUUCAAAAGAAAAAAUUAAAAUGUAUGUUCUAUAUUCGUUCUUGUUCUAUAGUUCAAAUUACAAACAAUUUUCUAGACUCACGUUGUAAUGCAACAUAUUUUCCGAUAGAUGUAAAUGUGAAUUCAAGUAUAUUUUGUGAAUACAUUUUCAAGAAUCAUGCAUAUUUUAAUUAAAGAGAGCUAACAAAAGAGAAAGAAAACUUAUUUCUUUUUGCGUCCUAUUUACAAAAAAUAAGUAUAGAUUUUCCUACAUUGCAGUACUCAUACAAUGUAACUUUUUAUCCAAAGUUCACGUUUAUUGAAUCUCGUCUACAAGUAUUAUUUUAAACAACAUUAUUUUAUACUUUCGUUUAAAAUCUUGACAACGUUUAAAAUAACAUUAGAAGUAUUCUUUUAUACAAAUUAUUAUCUUCUACAAAUCCUAUUUUAAACAACAUUCUUAUCUGUAAUUUUAGCUAUAUUUACAAAACUACUUUCUUUUUCUAUAAUACUAUAUUUACACUUAGCCUAACUAAAUUUUAGUCCGGUCAGUUAACCAUUGUUAAUGGGUCUUCAAGAGUGCCUAAUACCUUCCCUUUAGACUAAUUGAACCCUUACCUAGAAUCUCAAGUUUCGCAGACUUAAACAGAGCUAACUUUAGAAAAUAACUUUAAUAAACUUUAGGUGUCCUAAUUCACCAUAAAUAAUUAGGUGGCGACUCCUUAAAACACAAACAAAAACAGGGAAUCUCCAAUACGUCGUACUUCUAAUUUUAACCUCCGCGAGUAAAAAUGGGGUGUGACACUUAGUACUUUGUUACUUGGCGGUCUGUUUAUAUUAAAUAACGUCAUAGAGCUCCCAGCAUGUAGUUUCAAGUCUUCAACUAUUCAAAUCCUGGAUCUACUUUCUCACUUAUUUCACGACCUCGGCAAUAUAUGAAGUUUACAUGAAUAUUGUGAUCAAUUGCGACAAGGCAGACUUUACUCACCAAAAUCGCAACAAGAGAGACAUAACAUACUUACUGGUCUUCAAGUGACAAGUACAAGACAAUUUAAUCCAAAACUGCUGGCCAAGAAGAGUCGACGCGGCAUACAUUUCAGGUAACUUCGAUCCGAAUGGGAAUUACCAUAUCAGAAUUUAUGAAUGUUGACGAGGUAUUAGAACAGAAUGAUGCUGAUGAUAGUUAUCCCAGUAUGAAGUUGAUACAAAAUGGAAAGUUUACCCAUGAUUGGAGCCCUGCUAAUACUAUUGGGAUCCAACCAGGGAGAGACACGGCAUAGCAACUAUCCAUGAGUGUUUAUGGUCUAUUGUGGUGUCGCGAGUCUCUUCCCCAUCUCUGUUUCCUCUUUAAAUAGAGGUUCACAUAUUAUUAGCAGGAAUUUUUGCUAUCUAAUGUCUUCACAGUCAUAUAUUUUUCUUUAUGUUAAUCUCUCUUUUAGUUUGCAUUUGCAGAAGACAUUGACUGGAUUGUUUUACACCUGUUAAUAGUAGUUCAAACAAGAUAAUGGCCGUCUCCUAGAACUCACUCAGGAUAUUUCAUGACCUCGAAAUACGUGAAGUUUACAUGAGUUUGUGAUCAGUUUCCGACAAAGCAGAACGUACUGACUAAAGGUGCAACAAGAGAAGCACAACAAACUGACUGGUCUUCUAAUGACAAGUACAAGACACUUCAAAUAAUCGACAAUGGUUGCAUCUUUCUCUUGGGAUAAGAGGUGACGUGGUCAGACAACUUCGAUCGGAAUGGGGAUUCACCAGAUGAACAUUUUUGAAUCUUGACGAGGAAUUUGAGAAGAACGUAGUCAUCCCAGUAACCGUACUGACUGUUACCCAUGAUUGGAGCCUGCUAAUACUGCUGAAUCUAACUAGGGAGACGCUAAUUAGCAACUAUUCAUGGAGUGCUUAUCGUCUAUUGAGGUGCUACUAGAGUCUUCAAAUAGAGGUGCUUCCCUGUCUCUUUACCUUCAAAUAGAGGGCUCACGCAUUUUAUCAAUGUCAGUAUUUUACUGGCAGGAACUCAAGCUAUAUAAUAUCUCAAGAGUCGUAUAUUUUUCUCUAUGCUAAUCUCUUAUUUUUAGUUGCAUUUGCGGAAGACAUUGUCUAGAUUGUUUUACAUCUGUUAAGGACUUGAGGUUAUUCAAACCAUGGCCGUCAUCUAGAACUCACUAAGUCAUCCCUUUAUGGGCGCUUCUUUUCAUUCAGGAGAGCAAAAAACUAUAUUGACAAUGACUAGGCAAUCAGAGUAACGUUGAUGGCACUAUAUGCCUCUAUUUUCUUUUUUGGUACCAACCCUGCUGGGCUUCUGGUAAUCGUGGUUAGUACAUUCCUGGUUUUGUUACUUGGCAGUCUAGCAAGUUUAUUCAAUUACGUCGUGGAGCUCCCAGCUUGUAUUGUCAAGUCUUCAACUAUUCAAAUUUCUUCAACUAUUCAAAUCCUUGAUCUACUUUCUCACUUGGGAUAUGUCCAUGACCUUGGAAGGUGAAGUUUACCUGAAUUUGCGAUCAAUUACGACAAGGCACACUUUACUGACUGAAACUUCAUCAAGAUAACAAACUUAGUUGUCUUCUAGUGAGAAGUACAAGGCAAUUUAUAAUCAUCCCUGUUUGCAAUUUUCUUUUGAUAUAAGAUUAGACGCUGCAAUUUUUAUACGACUUUGAUCUGAAUGGGGCAUAUCAAAAUUUCUGAAUCUUGACGAGGAAUUUGGGCAGAAUUAGGCUGAUGGUAGCUAACCCAGUAUGAAGAUCAUGCCAUACUGACAAUUACCCAGGAUUGGAGCCUGCUAAUACUGUUGAAUCCAACUAGGGAGGCACACUGCUCAGCAACUAUUGAUGGAGUGUUUUUCAGUCUAUUGAAGUGCCAUCGAGUCUUCCCUAUCUCUCUUCCUUCAAAAAGAGGUUCACAUAUUUUAUGAAUGCCACUAUUCUAUUGGCAGGAGCUUAAGCUAUAUAAUGUCUUAAGCAGUUAAGGGACACUGGUUAAAUUGUUUAUGCAAUGCCAUUUUUUAUGGUAGGACUUCGGAUUGUUCUUUUUCUCCUACUCCUGAAUUAAGUUUCGAGAACCAUAUACAGGAGGGUUAUGAUAUAUAUAUAUAUAUAUACACAUACACAUACAUACACACACACAUACAUGGCUGCCUCAAGAGAAUCCUAUACUUUUGUAGAUACUUUACCUUUUGGUAUACCUCUUUGUACACGGCCAGUUUGGCCAUGUUUAUGAAUGGAAAUAUAUUUACUUGAUCCAAAAAAAAAAAAAAAAAGUGAAUCCAACUCCAGUCUACCAUCCUCUUCCCAUAUCUUUUCCUUUCAAAUCUUGCAAACCUGACGUUGCUAUUUUCCUAUAUUUUCUCUAUGCUAAUUUCUCACCAUAAAUCGCAUUCCGGUAUGGUGCUAUAUCGACAAUGAAGAGAGACGAUCAGAGUAAUGAGGGGAGCACUAGCUUAAGAUUGGUUCAAACAGUUAUGAGACAAUUGGUUAAGCUGCAUUCACAGUAGUGUUUUUCAAGGUAGAACUUAGGGUUGUUCUUCAUUUGCAAGGCUUUCAGGGUAGAACUUUGGAUUGUCCUUUUUCUCUUAUCCUUGUAUAUUUAGUUUCAAGAACUAUAUACAGGUGUGUGAUGAGACAUACAUGGGGGCGUGAAGUUUAAACCAACUCCUUUUUCGUUCUCUUCCCAUAUUUUUUUUUCAUUCAAGCUAGCUUUCUAUCUGACAUAGCUGUUCAAUGUAUUUUCCUGUGCUAAUUUCCCAUUUGCAGAAGACAUUCUAGAUUGCUAUAAGCCUGUUACAAGGUAAUGGUCGCAAACACACUCAAGUCGGCUCUUAAUGUACCACCCUAUGAGUGAUUAGGUACCAUAUAUCUAUUAGUUAUCUGUAAAACAUUGGUACAGGAUGUGAAUGGGCUAUCCUGGCGGUUAUGGUAUUUUCAUUUCUUUUUCCACUUUGGCACAUUUUAUGCCUUUUGCCACUGUAGUAGUUUUUUAUUGUGGCUCCCUUAUGAUGAUGCUCGCGGAUAUAACGCUAGUUCUACAUACAGGUAGUAUGAAGCUCAUAUGUGGAAUUUUAAUACUGUUGGAUCCGUUGAGCUCUAAUUCUAUCCGAAUGCUAGGGCAGAUGGUGCUCAGAAGGAAAUGUUGGAGGAACAGUAAGGGGAUACGAUGGGGCAGUCACGUUGCACCGUUAAUUUGGUUCUGUUGUCAUUUCAGUUCUGUUAACAACCCCGGUGUUUACCCCGUAUUUGGAUAAUCAAUUGAAAUUGUAGGUGAGGUAUAGGAUACGCGGUUAUAUCUUGAACUUAUUUGAUAGAGAAAAGAAAUAUAUGGACAUGCUAUAAAGGAGCAAUUGAUGAUCAAAAGUUUGCUGUAGACUCGUGUAUCUACUAAUAUACAAGCGUAUUUGAUUUAAGUAACGCAAGAAACAAACACAACAAAUAUGGAACGAAUCUGAUGUAUGAGAGAGAUUUUGUAUAUAUUUUGCUAUUACAAGGAUUCUUGAUAUGAAGCAGCCAACCCCCCAAGAGGAGGACAAUGCCUCUUAUUUAUAGUAGUGCCCCAUGGGCUUCACACAACAUGAAUAAUAAAAUAAUAAUGAAAAGCUCUGAGUUGGGUUAGGUAGGCCGUACGGUCUGACACCCGUACGAUUGACAGUUGAACAUAGCAGGACGUCAUCGACGCGUGGCAACCGCGCAACGGAUCUCCCGGACCGCCGGCCACGAUCAAACGGACGUACGGCCUCGAACAACCCGGUCAUGAAAGAAC
Molecule: long non-coding RNA, 7006 nt
Organism: Lycium barbarum (goji berry)
Lineage: Eukaryota; Viridiplantae; Streptophyta; Magnoliopsida; Solanales; Solanaceae
Exons: 3
Source: RefSeq, a predicted model, not a curated record